AAGCACGUAGGUGGGUUUGUAAGUCAGAUGUGAAAGCCUUCUGUUCAACGGGAGAAUUGCAUCUGAAACUACAGACCUUGAGUAUAGGAGGGGAGAGUGGAACUUCUGGUGGAGCGGUGAAAUGCGUAGAUAUCAGAAGGAACGCCGGCGGCGAAAGCGAUUCUCUGGCCUAUUACCGACACUCAGUGUGCGAAAGCUAGGGGAGCAAACGGGAUUAGAUACCCCGGUAGUCCUAGCCGUAAACGAUGGGCACUAAGUAGAGGGGUUUU
This 269-nucleotide ribosomal RNA is filed under the name uncultured Planctomycetales bacterium. RNAcentral's name for it is "partial 16S ribosomal RNA". It matches the Rfam family "Bacterial small subunit ribosomal RNA", at positions 567 to 832 of the family's 1533-position model. Lineage: Bacteria; Pseudomonadati; Planctomycetota; Planctomycetia; Planctomycetales. The record is from RNAcentral.